Molecule: ribosomal RNA, 451 nt
Filed under: uncultured organism
Description: partial 16S ribosomal RNA
Rfam family: Bacterial small subunit ribosomal RNA
Source: RNAcentral
CGUACACUCCUACGGGAGGCAGCAGUGGGGAAUCUUGCGCAAUGGGCGAAAGCCUGACGCAGCCAUGCCGCGUGAAUGAUGAAGGUCUUAGGAUUGUAAAAUUCUUUCACCGGGGACGAUAAUGACGGUACCCGGAGAAGAAGCCCCGGCUAACUUCGUGCCAGCAGCCGCGGUAAUACGAAGGGGGCUAGCGUUGCUCGGAAUUACUGGGCGUAAAGGGAGCGUAGGCGGACAUUUAAGUCAGGGGUGAAAUCCCGGGGCUCAACCUCGGAAUUGCCUUUGAUACUGGGUGUCUUGAGUAUGAGAGAGGUGUGUGGAACUCCGAGUGUAGAGGUGAAAUUCGUAGAUAUUCGGAAGAACACCAGUGGCGAAGGCGACACACUGGCUCAUUACUGACGCUGAGGCUCGAAAGCGUGGGGAGCAAACAGGAUUAGAUACCCGUGUAGUCCCA